Molecule: long non-coding RNA, 266 nt
Filed under: Hordeum vulgare
Lineage: Eukaryota; Viridiplantae; Streptophyta; Magnoliopsida; Poales; Poaceae
Description: long non-coding RNA (HVUL_LNC001147)
Source: RNAcentral
AAUUCCUCUUCAGCGUUGGCCUCGUAGCCGCCAAUGGCGGAGACGAUGGGCGAGAGGGAGAGGUGGUGCUGCCGGUGGGGUGGCCGCAGAGUGGGCAGAGGUUGGGAGGGGGCCCGCCGGCGUCGGCCAUGGCGUGCAUCCGGGGAGCCGGGAGGAGGCGGGCGGGCGCACGCGCGCGCGCGCGGGGAGACGGAAAUUUGGCAGGAGGGGGAGAGGAAAAGCGGGAGGGGUGCCUUUCCGGUUCCCGUCGGUCGUUGGCCGGUGUC